GCUUACGGCCAUACCACCCUGAAAACGCCCGAUCUCGUCUGAUCUCAGAAGCAUAACCACGGUCAGGCCUGGUCAGUACCUGGAUGGGAGACCACCUGGGAAUACCGGGUGUCCGUAAGUU
RNAcentral lists this ribosomal RNA (121 nucleotides) under Sphaeramia orbicularis (orbiculate cardinalfish). Lineage: Eukaryota; Metazoa; Chordata; Actinopteri; Kurtiformes; Apogonidae. The record is from RNAcentral.